AUGGAGCGGAGGAUGGAGCUCUGUCAGUGUGUAGCAUGCGGUGGCCGGCGGUGUGUGUUGGAGCCCGGGACCCACAGGGGCUGACCUGGAGGGGCGCCAGAGACGGGGCUGAGGAGCCACCAGGCAGGGGUGCACUGGGGCUUCCUGGGGGGCCGCUCAGACCAUGUCGAUGCUCCUUCCUGCAAGGAACCUGCUAACCCCUGUGUCUCCCAUGCCACCCUGCCAGGGCUGCUGGAGGCUGGCUCACCCUGGACCAGGGGUCACAGGUCAGCCUGACCCAGCUGUGCUCUGAGCUGCGGGGGGUGCAGACUCGGCCAGCUGUGCAGGAAGCCAGCGGGUGGCUUCUGGCAGAGCUGAGCAGGGCCUCACCCCUAUACAUCCCCAAUGUGCUCAGAGAUAGUGACAGCAGUGGUUCGCAUCGUUGUAUCCGUGUCAAACCUGCAGGAAUGUUCCCUGCUCUUUUCACGACGGCUCAAAUCUGGAAGCCCCCGAGAUGCUCUGGGAUGAGCAGGCACGGGGUCCCCCACAGAAUCCAGUUCAGGGACACCUAGGAAGGCCUGUGGAUGUGCUCAGUGCCACAGAGGCACCGGCUGUGUUUGCUGAGGGCAUGCAGCCAGAUGGGGGCUGCUGGUGUUCCCAGGACAUGGGGAACAAGCCAGAGCAGGGGGAGGAUAAGUGUCAGGAGCUGCCGGGAGCAGGCAGGGGAUGCACCUGGCUCCCAGGGGGACAUUCAGGGUCAGGGGCUGCUCCAGGGCUGGAGGAGGCGCUGGCAGCUCUGGGAGAGGCCAGGAGCUGCACACCCCACAGUGGGAGCUCCCACACGGAGGCACACGGAAAACCCCAGAAUGCAGAGAAACCCCCAGCAUGCUGUAUGUGUGAGGUCGCUGCCUGUCACCAUGUGCAGACCUGACCCCAGAGAAUUGGCCCCCACUGAGGUGCCCCAAAGACCGCUGGCCUUGCUGGGCAGGGGGCUAGACUGAGCAGAGCACCCUGCUGUCCCCCGUCCUGGGCAGCAAGCCCUGUUCCACGUGCUGUCUGCCUAUUCCAUGUACAACACCGUGAGUGUCCCUGCCCCCAGACCUCCUACCCCACGGGUGUCCCUUGUCCUGAGUCUUGGUGACCAACAAGACUCAUAGUUAGGACCCCAGCUCCCACUGUCCUAAGAUGCAAGGGAGGGUCUCUCUCCUCCAAGACCCAGGCAGGGGGCUGGGGUGCAGACCUCCCUGUGGGAGGGAGGGCGCCUGAGUGCCCAAGUGCUGGGGCUGUCCAGGGCUCUCGGGUGCACUGCUGCUGUCCUAAAACUCGGGUCUGGACCAUGAAGGGACAGCACUACUAAUCAGAACCCGGCGAAGAGGAAGGCUCCCAUCCCCUGAAGGGCAUGAGGCUGUGGUUGACCAGAAGGCUGCUCCAUGGUGCACUCCAGAAGGGUCUCCUGAGGAACCCCAGCUCAGAUGCUCCACGGCUCUGUGGUGGUAUCAUGGUCCUGCUUCCCUCGUGGGACCUCCCAGGGGCCACAGUCAGGCCCCCGACCUGCCCUCAUGGUGGGGUCUCCAGACCUGGUGGGUCCCCUGCAGCCUGGCAUGCGUCACGGAGGCCCCUCCUAGUCUGAGGAAGGGGACCCUGGUGCAGUAUCUGCAGGGCUCGGUAGUGGGGCCAUGUGGUGCUGCCACCUGCUCUCCUGCCCUCUGGGAGCCUCCUCUGGGAGCCUGGGCUGUGAGGGAGCCGUGGGAGCCUGACGCCUGCGCAGGGAGGGCUCAGAGGGGGCCUUGGGGGUGGACACCCUCCAUGGGGCUCUGGCUCUUGCAGGACGUGGGCUACUGCCAUGGCAUGAGCCAGAUUGUGGCCAUCCUGCUGAUGUUCCUGACUGAGGAGGAUGCUUCUGGGCGUAGGCCCAGCUGAUGACCGAUGAGAGGCACACCAUGCACGGUAGGGGCUGGACAGGCCACUGGAUGGGAUUGGAGCUCAGGAGAGCCUCCCUGCAGGGCUGCUCCAGCCGUGGGGCAGGCGGGGACCCCCACCCAGCCCACCUCACCACUGGCAAGGGCACUGCCUCCCCAGGUGCCCCUCGGGGUCCUAGAGCCACGGCCACCGGCCCCACCAUCUGCAGACCAGUCUUGCAUUCCCACUGCUCUCUGAGCCUCCUAUCUGGCUGCCUGCUCGCCCCCCAGGCCCCCCUGCCAGCCCACAGCCAGACGAAGCCCAGGGGGCAACAUCUCCCCCCUCCUGGGUGCCCCCAGCCUGACUCCCAAGCCCCAGAGAGGACCAUGCACACACAUCACCCUCCCUGUGGCCUGAACCCGCUGCCCCUCGGGGCUGGGGACCCGCCUGCCCCUGCGGGAGCCACUGCAGGAAAGAGGGUGCUAGGUCAGACGGGCCUGGUCCUCAGCCCAGGGCACCCAGCACCCACUUCACAGGGUCUCUGUGAGGAUGAGGGUGCCCGGGCCCUGCUACCCCCAGCCUGGAAGACAGUCCUGCUCUCUAGAAAGAGCGGGUCCAGUCAGGGCUCAGAGGGCUGUGGGCACACAGGGGUCAGGGUGGGGGGGAGGAGGCCUCUGCCAGGAAACAGGAAACCCCCUCCCACCCCCGCCUGGUGCAGAAGGAAGCCCUGAUCCCUGGUGCAGGAGGAGGCCUGGGGCCUUCUCAGGCUUCUUCAUUCCAGGGUUCCCCAAACUGCUGAGGUCCCAGGCCCAUCACGAGCACGUUCUAGACAGCUUUCCCCAAGCUGAAGAAGCACAUGGACGAGGGUGUGCACUGGCAUUUACACCCCCAAGUGGUUCCUUCAGUGUUUCAUCGACCUGGUGGGCUCAGGAUCCCGUUUCCUCCUGAUUCAGCCUGCUGCAGCCACCCACAGUAGAGAGUGUCCCCUGGGCCUUCCUCCUCAUCAUUUGAUGUCUCCUCUUCUGCUCCAGCUUCAGGAAACCAGGCCAGGGCUGGGCAUGCGGGCACUCACUGCAGGGGCUGGGCACCAGCAGUGUGGAAGGCUGUGGAUAGGGUCAGGCCAGGGGGGCCACAUGGGAGGCAUGAGGACCCCUGGGGCGCCCCAGCUGGAGACACACAGUCUGCUGGAGAUGCUAACCCAGUUUGCCUCUUUCCAGCGGGAACUGACAAGUUCCCCAAGAGGCCCCUGGGCCUGGAGCGAGUGUCUCCAGCGCCCGGGCCUCUCCUCCUUUUUCCUACUGUUGAGACGCUCCCCAGAGUGGAUGAGCUGGUCUCCCCAGACUCAGCCACCCAGUCUGAGCCACCUGGACCCCCUCCCGGCCAUGCCAUCCUCAAGGCCGAGGAGCCGCUGCAGGAGGGAAGCUUCCCAGAGCCCAAGGCUGCACACCUGUGUCCGGGAACACUGGGGGCUCUGGUUCUGGCCCGGCUGCCCCCAGCCCAGGACUCCUCGCUGGCCUGCGGCUACUCCCCCAGCGAUGGAACUCCCUCCUCAUCCUGCCAGUGAACCAGGAGGGUGCAGGCAGGUGGCCCCUGGACAUGGGCUUGAAGACAGAACACUGGGUCUCCUUCCCUUCGGCACCUGCCUGGGCCACCCCAGAGGCCACAUGACAAACCAGGCCCUGGAACCCCCCUGGGACUCCCAUCAUGGGGUCCACCUAGCCCACUAAAGAUGACACUGUAGGGCCCAGGACACCCUUCCUGCCCUGUGACCACUGCAGCUCAAGCCCCUCUCUGGGCAGUGACUGGCACAGCCAGGGCAGAGCCAGGGCAGCACUGAGUCCACUGCCCCAAGGCCCCGCUGCUCCAAGGCCCCCCACAGGCCUGGGGCCCUCUGACCUCUGCAUCCACAGGGAAGCUCGAUGCUUGUGGGCCUCUGGAGCAGAGCAUGAUGGUGAGUGUGGGGGCCCUGAGGCCCUGGCCAGCUGGCACCAUGCCCUGCCUCAUCUCACUGUCCUUUCUGGAGGGCGGCACCCCCACCCCACAGGACACAAGCCCCUGACCCAGAGGACCUGGGCCGGCCUCUCCCCGGGCACUGUCGGGGCAGGGUCGACAUGAGCUCCCCCAAAGCCAGGAUGAAGACUGAUGGGUUCCAGCCUCCCAUGGCCCUGGCCAGUCCUGGAUUCUGCCCCAAGGCUGAGCGACCCCUCUCAGAGCAGUAUGGCCUCCUGGGACCUGGGCAUGCCCCACAAAUCCAGGUCGCUGACCUAGGGCAGCACUGGAAAUAACAGGAAACCCCAGGGCAGGGCCAGCAGGGACAGGCUGGUGGGCCCUACCCUCACCCACCCUAGGAGGCAGGCUCCUCCACAUGCUGGGUCUCCAGCAGUCAGUAACCUGGCAUCAGGGGGCCAGAGGCCAGGGUCCAGCUGACCUGCUGGGACCCAGCGCAGGAACCCAUAAGCUGCAGGCCCAGGUCAGGUCUGCUGUCCUCAGAACUGCCUCUCAGGCCCCAACGUCAGGAAAUGUGCCCCCACCCAGAGUCUGCACAGGCUCCCAGGUGGGGACUCUAGCACCCAUACCCCCGUGUGAUUUCUGCUUUCCCCUAAAGGACAGGAAGGUCUCCCUUCCCAGGGGAAGGCUCGCACCCUUGGCUCUGAGCCCCUGUCUGCUGUUGAAAGUUCAAUAAAG
This is a long non-coding RNA of Canis lupus familiaris (dog), 4563 nucleotides long. RefSeq lists it as uncharacterized. The record is from RefSeq and is a predicted model, not a curated record. Lineage: Eukaryota; Metazoa; Chordata; Mammalia; Carnivora; Canidae. The transcript has 3 exons.